Molecule: long non-coding RNA, 2390 nt
Filed under: Hordeum vulgare
Lineage: Eukaryota; Viridiplantae; Streptophyta; Magnoliopsida; Poales; Poaceae
Description: long non-coding RNA (HVUL_LNC005654)
Source: RNAcentral
UGUGAGAGACAUAUCUGGAGAUAAGUUAUUUAUUGUAGAGAAGCCUGCCGCCUUUCGUCAUCUCGUCGAAGAGCCCGUUGAUGGCUUCGUACCUCCUUGCUUCCUCACAAGCUCAAUCCGCAGAGCCCAGGUCUUGUUAAUCUCGAUGCCGGGACAAAACAAAAAUCCAAGCACUUAUUAUGAAUAUCAAAAUAAUGAGCGAUGUAGGCAUAUAUAAGCACUAUAUUCAUAUAAAAAAUCUAAGCACUUAUUAUGUUGCUAUUUGUGACGCCUUUCUUAUUUUAGCAAGAAAAUAAUGGUCCCCUCAUAUUAUUAAGUUGUAACUUUCGCAACCAUUAAAAACAUAGAUAAUUAAAGAUAUCAACUAAUUUGCUGUUAACAUGAAAUAAACAAUGCUCCAAAUCAAUGUGUACCUGUCUUAUACCUCGUCAACAAAUUGAACUCGUUGACAUGUCCCCAUUUUUAUCUCCGUUGUUGCAGUUGUUUGGUCCAAUGUCUCCAUGUAUCGCACUUACUAAUCAAAAGAGAAAGUUUGUCCGUCUUCAUAGUUCAUACCGAGUAUCAAUCAAAAGAUAAAGCAUGCACUGGAGUACUCAACAUCGUUAUUCCUGAGGGCACAUAUAUCUGCAUACCCAGAUUUCUAGCUAGUUAUCUAAGAUAGUAAAGUGACACUUGUACAAGGUAACAAAAAUCAAGCACACAAGGAGACUCAAAAGAAAGCUCUGGCCGACCAGUGGUCCGUACAUUUUGUGGUCUCAUGCCGGUUAGUAUUUUACUGUCUAGAUCCUUGAUUCUCUUGUCAUCCUGUUUUGGAAUAGCUUUAUGUUAAGAUUUCUUCUAUUCAUAGUUUGGUACGUAGUUGCGUACCCAAUUUUUUAUAGAAAAACCAAGCUAUUAUUUCAACCAUAUAACUAAGGGGAACACACCUAUGAAAUUCAUUGAUAACAGGAACAACAAAGAUUUUAAACAAAUGUCAUCAAAGAAAUAAAAAAGUGCAGCUAGGUAAUUCAAGCAUGGUAAAAAUACAAAUGCUUUAUUAAUAUAAUAUUUUCUAAUAAAUUCACAAAGGCAUCAUGAUUCUAAACAACAAUAUAUCUCCCGUUUCUGCUUUCAUUGAUCAUUGCCAAGUGACAGCAGCACAAACGUUGAAGCGACUUUCAGCCUCCAAUCAAACAUGAACAUGGGUUGAGAUUCUUUCUGAAUCAAUAUGAUUGUUCAUAUCAGUACAAAAUAAUCUUGCAUUCAGUAGAAGCGUGUAUGUUAAUGGUAAAAGAACUACAAGAUGAAUUAGCGGAUAUGGAUGAAUAAAGUACCUGGAGCCGAGGUUGACCGUGACAUGGUGUGGGAAGAGCAUGAAUCUAGUGAAUCAUCCAUCAACUUGCAUUUAGACAUGACCGAAGCUAAAUGUAAUGAACCAGGAACGGUAAAUUUGACUAAUCUUGUCCGUACAAAUCCACAAAAAGAAACACUGCAAAAUAGAAGAAAUGAAAAUAUCAAGGGUGGAUAAAAUGGUAGGAUCACAUCAUAGAAAGGAAAAUCCAACAAUAGACAUCACUAAAAAUCCCUAACUUGCAAGACUAAAAAGAUAUGGAUGAAUCUUCCAGAAUGUUAUGAAUUGAUGUUUUCUACCUGGGAAAGAAACUUGCAAUGGGGACGAAAGCACAAGACAACGAGGGUAAAGAAACUUGAUGUGAUGGCGGGAUGCUUAAUUCUGUAUAGAUAUUGGACUUAACGAUCGAAGAAUCAUAUUGGAAGAUUUAACCUCACACGCCUGACGCCACUGGCCAUGUAUGCCUCAGUCACUCUGUGUGCUAUGUAAUUGUGAACAUGUCUAGAGAAUAAACAAAACAAGGAAAUAAGAUCACGUGAAUGAAGAGACAAUUAUUGUUCUCUCGUGAUUGCUCUCGAAGCAAUAGCGGUAGCAAGCACGAGCAGAACAAAACAUUAUGAAGUGCAAAUUAUACAUGUCCCUUCUUUGAACAGUAGCAACAGCAGCUAGGAAAGCAUUACUGAGCCUUCCUCUCUCCCUCCUCUCCGAUUUCUGCAACUGCCACCGUCGUCAGCACCUCAUCCAGCAACGAUCUGAAUCCCUUUUUUCUCCUCACGUCCCCAUCCCCUGUAAGAUAUGGUGACUCUCUCGCAUUCAAGAUCUGCAAAAAAUCAUGUAAUGCAUAAAUCUGAUGCAUCGAUCCAGUGAUCAAAGAAACCAUUUUAGCUGGAAAUUCAAUUGGAUCAUUCCAGAGAAAGGAGUAGCGCGAGAUCCACAGUGGCAUGGGGAUGGCAACGCCUUGGGGAGAGAGAGGGAGUAGCACGCGCCACACCUCGUCUUCAUGCCGCCUCCUUCUAUGAUGCGACGGCAGGGGCCGAGCAAGGCAGAGCGGAGCGGCGUG